UGUUAUUGGAUGAAUGCUUCAUAGUGUU
This 28-nucleotide non-coding RNA is filed under the name Mus musculus (house mouse). The record is from RNAcentral. Lineage: Eukaryota; Metazoa; Chordata; Mammalia; Rodentia; Muridae.